AGGAUGAACGCUGGCGGAGUGCCUAACACAUGCAAGUCGAGCGGCAGCGCGAAGAAUUUAUUCUUUGGCGGCGAGCGGCGGACGGCUGAGUAACGCGUGGGAACAUACCCCAAAGUGAGGGAUAAGCAUCGGAAACGGUGUCUAAUACCGCAUAUGAUCUUCGGAUUAAAGGAUUUAUCCGCUUUGGGAAUGGCCUGCGUACGAUUAGAUAGUUGGUGAGGUAAAGGCUCACCAAGUCUACGAUCGUUAACUGGUUUGAGUAGGAUGAUCAGUCAGACUGGAACUGACGACACGGUCCAAGACUCCGUACGGGAGGCAGCAGGUAGAAGGAACUCCUUACCACAA
This 345-nucleotide ribosomal RNA is filed under the name uncultured soil bacterium. Its description in RNAcentral is "bacterial SSU rRNA". It matches the Rfam family "Bacterial small subunit ribosomal RNA", at positions 26 to 374 of the family's 1533-position model. The record is from RNAcentral.